CCCUUAGAUGUUCUGGGCCGCACACGCGCUACACUGAAGGAGGCAGCGUGUACUCCUGGAUCGAAAGAUUUGGGUAACCCGCGAAUCUCCUUCGUGCUAGGGAUUGAGGUUUGCAAUUAUCCUUCAUGAACGAGGAAUUCCCAGUAAGUGCAAGUCAUAAGCUUGCGCUGGCUACGUCCCUGCCCUUUGUACACACCGCCCGUCGCUACUACCGAUUGAAUGAUUUAGUGAGGACUUCGGACUGGGACCGAUGCGGCUUUCGGGCUGCGUCGGUAUUCUGGAAAGAUGUCCAAACUGUAUCAUUUAGAGGAAGUAAAAGUCGUANCA
This 327-nucleotide ribosomal RNA is filed under the name uncultured eukaryote. RNAcentral describes it as "partial 18S ribosomal RNA". It matches the Rfam family "Eukaryotic small subunit ribosomal RNA", at positions 1470 to 1796 of the family's 1831-position model. The record is from RNAcentral.